CGCAUCUGUGCAUGCAGCAUAUCAAUAAGCGGAGGAAAAGUCAAUACCUACGCUUAGGAUGUUGACACACGCGCGUGCUCGAUGAUAGUCUAUACAUGACUCUGCGCAUAUCAAUAAGCGGAGGAAAAGAAACUAACAAGGAUUCCCCUAGUAACGGCGAGUGAAGCGGGAAGAGCUCAAAUUUGAAAUCUUAAAGGGUUUCCCUUUACGAAUUGUAGUUUAAAGAAGUGUUUUCUGUUGAGGUUUUGGUAAAAGUUCUUUGGAAUAGGACAUCAUAGAGGGUGAGAAUCCCGUAUUUGACCUUUACUUUCAACUUUGUGAUACACUCUCAAAGAGUCGGAUUGUUUGGGAAUGCAGUCCAAAAUGGGUGGUAAAUUUCAUCUAAAGCUAAAUAUUGGCGAGAGACCGAUAGCGAACAAGUACCUGUGAGGGAAAGAUGAAAAGAACUUUGAAAAGAGAGUUAAACAGUACGUGAAAUUGUCAAAAGGGAAGCGUUUGACACCAGUGUUGUUUUUCUGAAAAUCAAUUAAAGAACUGUUUAUGCUAAGCUGUUUAGACUUUAUCAGCUAUCUGUUUAGUUUUGAGCUUUUCUUUAACUGCACUUUUCAGUUAACAAGUCAACAUCAAUUUCUUUUGCUGUAAAAAAGCUUGAGGAAGGUGGCUUGAGAUUCGUCUUGAGUGUUUAUAGCCUCUUGCCUAUGCAGUCGGAGAGAUUGAGGUCUGCAGCGUAGAUCCUUCGGGGCUAAAUGCAUUUGUGCUAAGUUAUAGCAUUUUAUAGACAACUUGUUGACUAUGAUUUGUCUUGUAGCUUACUCGCUUAUGUUAUUUUACCUACGCUUAGGAUGUUGACAGCAGUAUAGACUGU
RNAcentral lists this ribosomal RNA (865 nucleotides) under uncultured Neocallimastigales. RNAcentral describes it as "partial large subunit ribosomal RNA". It matches the Rfam family "Eukaryotic large subunit ribosomal RNA", at positions 1 to 629 of the family's 3401-position model. Lineage: Eukaryota; Fungi; Neocallimastigomycota; Neocallimastigomycetes; Neocallimastigales. The record is from RNAcentral.